CGCGUAGGCGGGUCUGUAAGUCAGAGGUGAAAUACUGCGGCUUAACCGUAGAACUGCCUUUGAUACUGCAGAUCUUGAGUUCGGAAGAGAGAGGCGGAAUUCCAGGUGUAGUGGUGAAAUACGUAGAUAUCUGGAAGAACACCAGAGGCGAAGGCGGUCUCUUGGUCCGUAACUGACGCUGAGGCACGAAAGCGUGGGGAGCGAACAGGAUUAGAUACCCUGGUAGUCC
This 229-nucleotide ribosomal RNA is filed under the name uncultured bacterium. RNAcentral describes it as "partial 16S ribosomal RNA". It matches the Rfam family "Bacterial small subunit ribosomal RNA", at positions 568 to 796 of the family's 1533-position model. The record is from RNAcentral.